RNAcentral lists this ribosomal RNA (174 nucleotides) under uncultured bacterium. RNAcentral describes it as "partial 16S ribosomal RNA". It matches the Rfam family "Bacterial small subunit ribosomal RNA", at positions 1319 to 1500 of the family's 1533-position model. The record is from RNAcentral.
CACGAAGUUGGAUUCGCUAGUAAUCGCGCAUCAGCCAUGGCGCGGUGAAUACGUUCCCGGGCCUUGUACACACCGCCCGUCAAGCCAUGGGAGCCGGGGGCGCCUGAAGUCCGGGACCGCGAGGACCGGCCUAAGGCGAAACUGGUGACUGGGGCUAAGUCGUAACAAGGUAUC